UAUCUAUCCUGUUUUAAAUCACAUUAUCCCCUCAUAUAUAUACAGUAUAUAUAUAUAUAUUCCAAAUGGAAACAGAUUCAAUUCCCAAUCUUUAUGAUUAAAAUUGAAAGUGAAUUCAUUUAGCUAAUUUAACCAAUCCCAUGGUGGGAUUGAUCAUAAAAUAAUCAGUGGGAUUAAUAGGUUCAGAGUUGAAACUAAUCAGAGAAAAAUCUGAUGUGAAUUGGAAUUGAAUCUGGAUCUGAAGUGGUAAAUUAGUAUUUUAUAAUGUGGCCAUCCAGUAAACAAAUAGUGUUGUUUAACAAGAAUAUACUAAGACUAUUAUUUGCUCUUGAAACAAUUAGACAGUUACAAGCUCUGCUAAAAAAACUUUUGACUGUCUUUCAGUACUGUUUAGUUUUACAUGAAUGUUAUCAAUUGGCAUUUUCAUUGAAUUCAAAUACUUUUGUUAUAUUUUCUUUGUUUUUUGAUGAAACA
This 474-nucleotide long non-coding RNA is filed under the name Androctonus crassicauda. The record is from RNAcentral. Lineage: Eukaryota; Metazoa; Arthropoda; Arachnida; Scorpiones; Buthidae.